AUACGGGGGGUGCAAGCGUUAAUCGGAAUUACUGGGCGUAAAGCGCGCGUAGGCGGUUUGCUCAGUCGGAUGUGAAAGCCCAGGGCUCAACCUUGGAACUGCAUACGAUACUGGCAAACUAGAGUGUGAGAGAGGAUAGUGGAAUUUCCGGUGUAGCGGUGAAAUGCGUAGAUAUCGGAAGGAACAUCAGUGGCGAAGGCGACUGUCUGGCUCAACACUGACGCUGAGGUGCGAAAGCGUGGGUAGCAAACAGGAUUAGAAACCCCUGUAGUCCC
RNAcentral lists this ribosomal RNA (275 nucleotides) under uncultured bacterium. RNAcentral's name for it is "partial 16S ribosomal RNA". It matches the Rfam family "Bacterial small subunit ribosomal RNA", at positions 523 to 797 of the family's 1533-position model. The record is from RNAcentral.